Diceros bicornis minor is the source of this 124-nucleotide small nuclear RNA. RefSeq annotates it as U4atac minor spliceosomal RNA. The transcript has a single exon. The record is from RefSeq and is a predicted model, not a curated record. Lineage: Eukaryota; Metazoa; Chordata; Mammalia; Perissodactyla; Rhinocerotidae.
ACCAUCCUUUCCUUGGGGCUGUGUGCUGUCCAGUGAGCAAACAGAGAGGGCAGUACUGCUAAUGCCUAACACCACACUCACAUCAACCAGAGCUCUGCUUUACCAUGGCACAAUUUUUAGAAAA